GAGCCCGUAGCUCAGCUGGUAGAGCACUUGACUUUUAAUCAGGUUGUCCCGGGUUCGAAUCCCGGCGGGCUCACCA
This 76-nucleotide transfer RNA is filed under the name Candidatus Megaera polyxenophila. RNAcentral describes it as "tRNA-Lys". It matches the Rfam family "tRNA". Rfam says of the family: Transfer RNA (tRNA) molecules are approximately 80 nucleotides in length. Their secondary structure includes four short double-helical elements and three loops (D, anti-codon, and T loops). Lineage: Bacteria; Pseudomonadati; Pseudomonadota; Alphaproteobacteria; Rickettsiales; Rickettsiaceae. RNAcentral also lists the same sequence under 5 other names. The record is from RNAcentral.